This 306-nucleotide unclassified non-coding RNA is filed under the name Hevea brasiliensis (rubber tree). The record is from RNAcentral. Lineage: Eukaryota; Viridiplantae; Streptophyta; Magnoliopsida; Malpighiales; Euphorbiaceae.
GCAGAAAUAGGUGCCCUUGAUCAUGAGAUUCUUUUGGGGUGUGUAGCUCCAGGGGUCGGACUUGGUGCAAGGUCCCAGCUUCAGCGGGUCCGACAGCAAUUUCCUCACAAUGCAAGAGCUUGUUGGUGGAUGAUAGAUCCUUGUGAUCGGACGGUGGCGGGUGAUAUAAUCUUUAGCAGUGGGUACUUUAAGAUUCAUGUCUGGUGGAGUUGCAAGGGCCAUGGAAGUUAGAUGUAGGAGGCACAGGGCUUGUGGGAGAAAAGAGAGCUCCAUGCUUGUGCUUUACUUCCGAGAUGGUAGGUGAGC